AGGAAACGGCUAUUGCAAUUAGGUGUCGAUGCCUUCUGUAUUGGGUCGGCAAAUUGUACCUUACAAGAUUUGCAUUGCGUGUCUUAUACUUUAAAAAUCAAAAUCCCGAUGGGCUACAUUUAUCUCAUGAGUCAAAUUCAAAACAGUGGAAGUCCGGCCGUGACAGGACUGGGGCAGAGCGAAACGACUCAGUGGAGGAUGCUUUUCUAAGGUGGAACAUGGUUUGCCAAAUUAAAGGAGGCUCGACAUAUUGUAGAGGAAGUUAGGUAGGCUAAUAUGCUACAGGUUUUUUGGUAGAACACUUUAUUUGAACGAAGUUUUGUAACCUAUGUCUAAUAAUUGCUACAAAACAUUUUAUAGCUUUUUUAUAGCAUUUUUAUAGCAACGAACUGGAGGGUUGAACUAUGUAGUUACAUGCCAAAAUUGCAUUCUAAACUGAAGAUCAUGAUUAGGUGAUUAUUGGAGUCAGGUGUGUUAGCUGGGGCUGCAACAAAACUGUGACACCAAUCAGACCCUCAAGGACUGGAAUUGCCCACCCCUACAUGUGCUUUUGGCCAGAAGAAAGACGUUUGAAAGAAUUUGGAAACAUUAAUUGUCCGCCUUGAGGAGUGGGACAUUUCCAUGUGAGAGAGAUAUACAGUACCAGUCAAAAGUUCAGACACACCUACUUAUUCCAAGGUUUUUAUUUUCCAAGGUCUUUAUUUUUACUAUUUUCUACAUUGUAGAAUAUAGUGAAGACAUCAAAACUAUGAAAUAACACAUGGAAUCAUGUAGUAACCCCCCAAAAAGUGUUAAACAAAUCAACAUAUAUUUGAGAUUCUUCCAUGUAGCUACCCAUUGCCUUGAUGACAGCUUUGCACACUCUUGGCAUUCUCACAACCAGCUUCAUGAGGUAUUCACCUGGAAUGAUUUUCCAACAGUCUUGAAGGAGUUCCCACAUAUGCUGAGCACUUGUUGGCUGCUUUUCCUUUUCCUGCUUUUCCAUUGGCUGCGAUCCAACUCAUCCCAAACCAUCACAAUUAGGUUGAGGUCGGGAGAUUGUGGAGGCCAGGUCAUCUGAUGCAAUACACCCUCACUCUCCUUCCCUUGUCCUAUCCCCCUGCCAGACGCAUAUAAAAGCAACCAGAAAUGUUUCUGGAAGAAGUCCAGCCAGAGUUGUGAAGAGAAAAUUAGCAGUGAGACAAAGAGCCCCUGGGAGAACAAGGACAUAUUCUCUCUGAAAGACACUGACAGUAAACUCUUCACGGUGGUCAUCGAAAAACUGGAUUAUAGAGAUGAAGGAUGCUACUACUAUGAUGCGGACACACCAGACACGUCGUCAACUUGCUGUAGGACUAAGGUGGAGCUGGAAGUAAAGGAAGGUUAGAGACUUUCACUUUAAUUUAACUAAAUUAUUAAUUCCCUGUGUGUUGAGAAUAACGAGUCACGGCGGUCAGUCAACUAAGAGUGAAAGGAAAGACUGAGGUUAUUAAUAAAGGCUGAGGUUUUUUCCAUUGACAGAUAACUGCUGUAGGAGAUCAUUCACAGAGAUUGCUUAUCUGGGAGGAACCGCUACCAUCAGCUGCAAGUAUCCAAAUGACCAUAAGGACAGAAUCAAGUAUUUCUGCAAAAAAAGAUGGUCACUUCAUCUGUAAAUGCAAUAUAGAUUUACAAUCUAGAAAAGAAUCGAACGAACAAGGUCCAUUUUUUUGUGUCUGAUAAGACAAGGGAAGAGAGAGAGUCUUCACUAUGACCAUCACCAAUCUGACUGGGGAGGAUACAGGGAUAUUCUGUUGUGGCGGCAAAACUACUGCCUACUAUUAUUAAUGGAGAUUCUCCAAGGUACCCGGCCCUCUGGCUUUUCCUCCAAUAUAUUUCUAGAAGGAGGCUAAGAGAGAAGACACAAGUAAUCAAGGAAAGACACAUUGGGACAUCUUAUGUUUAAUGUUAAGUGGUUAGAUCAUUUGAUCACUGAUAUGAAACGUUUUAUCAAGCACGAUUUGCAUGUGAAGAUCAUCAACAUCAUGCAUUGUACCUCUAUAAUAGUCGUCUAUUGUAUGUGGGCCCUGCAUCUUCAUCCAUGUGACCAUCAACACUAAGACAAUGUACCUUUGAUAAGUAAAUUUGGUUCUAGGGCAGGUAGCUUAGCAGUUAAGAGUAUUGUUUCGGUUGCUGGUUCAAAUCCCCAAGCCGACCACAUGAAAAAUCUGCUGAUGUGCCCUUGAGCAUGGCACUUAACCCUAAUUGCUCAUGUAAAUUGCUCUGGAUUAAAGCGUGCCAAAUGACUAACCCUAACCCGUACCCUAACCCUAACCUUAACCUUAACCCUAACCUCAACCCAAAAACCUAACCUUAACCCUAAAUCUAACCCAAGCUACUAACCCUAACACUAAAACUAACCCUAGCUCCUAACCCUAACUCUUAACAUAAUUCUAACCCUGUCACUAAUUCUAACCUUAAACCACCUAGAAUUAGCAUUUGACCUCGUGGGGACUAAGAAAAUGUCCACAGGAGCUGCCUCCUCAACACACAGGGGUGGCCAUGGUGCAAUAAAACUGCACCCCCUACAGCUAGACUCAGGUCCGGUGACCACAACCAAUUUACCCACAAACCCAUCUGACUCAAUUCACUACGCCAGUGUCAACUUCCACAAGAACCCCAGGAGGCCCAACGAAGCCACCGCUGCCAUCGCUAAAGAGGGCACUUCUUCCACUGAAUACGCCACUGUGAACUUUGGUCGAAGUCUGCCUACUCACCCUGACCAAUGAAUGACAUGAUAAAAAUAGACCUCUAGCCUACUUCUACUGCUUCUCAAUCCUAAGUGAAUACAAUACAAUAUAAUAAAAUACAAUACAAUAAAAUGCAAUACAAUGGAAUACAAUAAACUAAAAUACAAUAAGAAAUAAUA
Molecule: long non-coding RNA, 2887 nt
Organism: Oncorhynchus keta (chum salmon)
Lineage: Eukaryota; Metazoa; Chordata; Actinopteri; Salmoniformes; Salmonidae
Exons: 3
Source: RefSeq, a predicted model, not a curated record